GGUUCCGGAGCUGGCCUGUCCUGGGAAGCAAUUCGUCGAACAGCUGCAGCGCGAGACGGUGGUAGGCCCUCAGCCUCGACCACGCGCACGCGAGCUGUUUGGCGAAUUGCUUUACCCAUGUCAGGCCCUGCCUCGGUUAUAUUAUACGGCCUUCAACC
RNAcentral lists this microRNA precursor (158 nucleotides) under Sorghum bicolor (sorghum). RNAcentral's name for it is "miR5564c stem-loop (sbi-MIR5564c)". Lineage: Eukaryota; Viridiplantae; Streptophyta; Magnoliopsida; Poales; Poaceae. The record is from miRBase by way of RNAcentral.